GACGAACGCUGGCGGCGUGCUUAACACAUGCAAGUCGAGGGGGAGUAGGGGCAACUCUACUUCACCGGCGAACGGGUGCGUAACACGUGAGCGACCUACCCUGGUGUGGGGGAUAGCCGGCCCAACGGCCGGGUAAUACCGCAUACGCUUGUUUGACCACAUGGCCGGACAAGCAAAGUCUUCGGACGCACUGGGAGGGGCUCGCGGCCUAUCAGCUUGUUGGUGGGGUGAUGGCCUACCAAGGCGACGACGGGUAGCCGGCCUGAGAGGGCGACCGGCCACACUGGGACUGAGACACGGCCCAGACUCCUACGGGAGGGCAGCAGUGGGGAAUCUUGCGCAAUGGGCGAAAGCCUGACGCAGCGACGCCGCGUGAGGGAUGACGGCCUC
Molecule: ribosomal RNA, 390 nt
Filed under: uncultured bacterium
Lineage: Bacteria
Description: bacterial SSU rRNA
Rfam family: Bacterial small subunit ribosomal RNA
Source: RNAcentral